RNAcentral lists this ribosomal RNA (253 nucleotides) under uncultured bacterium. RNAcentral's name for it is "partial 16S ribosomal RNA". It matches the Rfam family "Bacterial small subunit ribosomal RNA", at positions 524 to 776 of the family's 1533-position model. The record is from RNAcentral.
UACGUAGGGGGCAAGCGUUGUCCGGAAUCAUUGGGCGUAAAGCGCGUGUAGGCGGCCAGAAAAGUCCGCUGUGAAAACUCGAGGCUCAACUUCGAGCUGUCGGUGGAAACUUUCUGGCUAGAGUCCGGAAGAGGAGAAUGGAAUUCCUGGUGUAGCGGUGAAAUGCGCAGAUAUCAGGAAGAACACCCGUGGCGAAGGCGGUUCUCUGGGCAUUACCUGACGCUGAGGAGCGAAAGUGUGGGGAGCGAACAGG